RNAcentral lists this ribosomal RNA (253 nucleotides) under uncultured bacterium. RNAcentral describes it as "partial 16S ribosomal RNA". It matches the Rfam family "Bacterial small subunit ribosomal RNA", at positions 524 to 776 of the family's 1533-position model. The record is from RNAcentral.
UACGGAGGGUGCAAGCGUUAAUCGGAAUUACUGGGCGUAAAGCGCGCGUAGGCGGUUAUUUAAGUCAGAUGUGAAAGCCCUGGGCUCAACCUAGGAACUGCAUCUGAUACUGGGUAACUAGAGUUUUGGAGAGGUAAGUGGAAUUUCCUGUGUAGCGGUGAAAUGCGUAGAUAUAGGAAGGAACACCAGUGGCGAAGGCGGCUUACUGGCCAAAAACUGACGCUGAGGUGCGAAAGCGUGGGUAGCGAACAGG